This 782-nucleotide ribosomal RNA is filed under the name uncultured Neocallimastigales. Its description in RNAcentral is "partial large subunit ribosomal RNA". It matches the Rfam family "Eukaryotic large subunit ribosomal RNA", at positions 24 to 635 of the family's 3401-position model. The record is from RNAcentral. Lineage: Eukaryota; Fungi; Neocallimastigomycota; Neocallimastigomycetes; Neocallimastigales.
UAUCUCUGUAGAGUCUGCAUAUCAAUAAGCGGAGGAAAAGAAACUAACAAGGAUUCCCUUAGUAACGGCGAGUGAAGCGGGAAGAGCUCAAAUUUGAAAUCUUCAAGGUUCUACCUUGACGAAUUGUAGUUUAAAGAAGUGUUUUCUGUUAGAUUUGAGUAGGAAAGUUCCUUGGAAUAGGGACAUCAUAGAGGGUGAGAAUCCCGUAUUUGGACUAUUCAUUUCCUAGCUUUGUGAUACACUUUCAAAGAGUCGGAUUGUUUGGGAAUGCAGUCCAAAAUGGGUGGUAAAUUUCAUCUAAAGCUAAAUACUGGCGAGAGACCGAUAGCGAACAAGUACCGUGAGGGAAAGAUGAAAAGAACUUUGAAAAGAGAGUUAAACAGUACGUGAAAUUGUCAAAAGGGAAGCGUUUGACACCAGUGUUGUUUUUCCGAAAAUCAAUUACGAAUGGCUUGAUUCUGUGUUGUAUUGACCUUAUCAGCUUUCUGCACUUUUUUUCGAGUCUUUCUUAAUGCACUUUUUCGGUUAACAAGUCAACAUCAAUUUCUUUUGUUGUAAAAGAGUAUUCGGAAGGUGGCUUUCUUUUCGGAGAAAGUGUUUAUAGCCCUAUACUUCUACAAUCGGAGAGAUUGAGGUCUGCAGCGUAGAUCCUUCGGGGUUAGAUACACUUGUGCUAAGUUGUUAGCUUUUCAUAGACAACUUGUUGACUAUGUUUAGUCAUGCGGCUUACUCGCUUGUGCUAUUUUACCUACGCUUAGGAUGUUGAAGAUGUAGCACAUCAU